Molecule: ribosomal RNA, 478 nt
Filed under: uncultured bacterium
Lineage: Bacteria
Description: partial 16S ribosomal RNA
Rfam family: Bacterial small subunit ribosomal RNA
Source: RNAcentral
GACGAACGCUGGCGGCGUGCUUAACACAUGCAAGUCGAACGGUAAGGCCCUUCGGGGUACACGAGUGGCGAACGGGUGAGUAACACGUGGGUGAUCUGCCCUGCACUUCGGGAUAAGCCUGGGAAACUGGGUCUAAUACCGGAUAGGACCACUGCCUGCAUGGGUGGUGGUGGAAAGCUUUUGCGGUGUGGGAUGGGCCCGCGGCCUAUCAGCUUGUUGGUGGGGUGAUGGCCUACCAAGGCGACGACGGGUAGCCGGCCUGGGAGGGUGACCGACCACACUGGGACUGGGAUGCGGCCCAGACUCCUACGGGAGGCAGCAGUGGGGAAUAUUGCACAAUGGGCGCAAGCCUGAUGCAGCGACGCCGCGUGAGGGAUGACGGCCUUCGGGUUGUAAACCUCUUUCAGCACCGACGAAGCGCAAGUGACGGUAGGUGCAGAAGAAGGACCGGCCAACUACGUGCCAGCCGCCGCUGUAA